CCUCCUAGCUCCUCUCUAGCGGCUCCUUCCUUUACAAAUGCACCCCCGACCCUGCUUCACGAGCAAAGUCCUGCCUCAUCUGCUUCCUUUGCUUCACUGUCAACUUGUCAAAGUGCCUGGGACAGUGCCCUGAAGAGUGUGCGUGAUGGGGAUGACCUCACAUUCAGACCAAGGCAAAAACCAGAUAAACCCCUCCCUCCCAGGGGGCCAGGGAGAUGGCUGAAGCAGGGCUCCUAG
Molecule: long non-coding RNA, 237 nt
Filed under: Homo sapiens (human)
Lineage: Eukaryota; Metazoa; Chordata; Mammalia; Primates; Hominidae
Description: non-protein coding lnc-PUS10-2:1
Source: RNAcentral